CAGUUGGUUGCAAUCUGUAACCUCACCGCUAGAUGCCGCCAUACUGUACCUUUAAGUAAAGCCAUAGUUAACAUUAUACCUGCUAAACAUCAGCAUGUUAGCAUUGCCAUUGUGAGCACACUGACAUUAGCAAAACCUGUGAGUACAACCUCACAGAGCUGCCAGCUGUCUACAGCAGCUGGAUAUAUUGAGGGAGAACUUUCAUCUUGUCUAAGAUGUUUAUUUAGGGAAUGGGUGUGCCCACCCCAAAUUUAUCAUUGUCACCUGCAGCCUUCCUUUCUCUGUUUACUUUCUAAACUGAAAGCUUUAUUGGCUGAAGGGGUCACACCUGUUUGCCAAGGGAUUAGCAAGAUAUAUUUCUCAGCCUGAUAUUGUUUGUCCUUGUCAUACUCUCGUCCCCUUCCUUAUUCUGCGACACUAGGUUUCCUUGAUGGAUAUGGCUUUCUUAAGACGAGCAUCAAUGACUCACUCUAUUGGAAAGGUGCCUGCUUCGCUGUAGUUUGUGCAAUAUUAAAUUAAAGGUCCGCUGUGCUUUAUGUCUCGGAGAACUUUAGGUGUGUGUGUGGGUUAAAAUCCGGAUGUAGUAAUCUCAUCCUGGAGGGACUGCGGUCGUUGUUUUAUUCUGCUGAAUCAUAUUAUGACGGCUGAGUCAGCCCAGAAGACUUCUGGGUCACCUUUGUCAUUUUGUCCGGUCGGCCCGUGUGCGAGUCUCGCCCUGCGCAGACGGACCUCGCCUCCCCUAACUCACCCUUUCAAUUGUUUUAAGCAUCUGGUGAAAACCAAUGUGACUUCUCCCAAUCAGGGUUCAAGUAAGCAUUAUUUGAAUGGUAACAAAAUGAAUAUGAAAAACAACAAUGAGUAAUAAUAUUUUUCUUUCCGUGCACAUUUGACUGUUGGUCAGUGUGUGUGUAUGUGUGUGCUUGGUGUUAUUUCUUUAUAAAAACGUGAUAAGAAAAUCCUUCUGUUUUUGGAAACUUUAUGUAAAUAUCGUUGGUGAAAAUUGACAUUUGUUGUACGCCGAGUUUUCAUUUGUCACUUGAAAUGAUGAAGAAAACAAUGAUUAUUGAUGAAUAACAACGUGGUGAUGUUGAUGAUGCUGAAGCUGAUUAUACCUGCCCUUCUUGAAUAAGGGCUUUUGAUGUCCGCUGUAUUUUUGUUGGAGGUGCCGUGAGGUCGGGCAAGAGAAACAAAGGGAAGGAGUGAUACCCGACACAUCCCGGGCCCGCUGUAGCAACACUGCCACAAACACCUUUUACCCUCCAACCCGACACAUUUUCAGGAAAUACACUGAGCGAUAUGUGGCACAAAGUGUAGCCUGUGUUAUUUCGCCAUCUUUGUAUUUGCAUUACCAAAAAAAUUGGCUCCUCCUUGGCUGUGUGAGAAGACGGUUCACCUCCCCGUGGAGUCAGUCCUCCACAGUUGCUUGGCAUCACAUCUCACCCUGUCUGCUUAUAGGCUUGGGGAUUUACUGUAAUGCCAUUGUGUUAGACGGGAUUGGCCCUGUACUGACACUGAUGAUGCUUUCCUCAUUGAAUUUGGAGUCAUUAUUGCUCAGCUGGGGGCCAUACAUGGGGACAGGCACGUAUGGAGGAACGUACAUCAUCCGUCUGACCCUGUAAAAGCAUUGUGACUCAGCCUCUUAUUUCGGGGUGAGACUCGUGAUUAGCACUGCCGUGAACUCGCCACAUAAUAUGCGUCUCCUGCUUAGUUUGUAAGAACUCUCAGAAAAGGCCAGGAUUAGCGCUAUAAACCUCCAUAUGGCAGACGUGUAGUGGAAAUAAGGGGUUUUAAAGGUAUAAUAUGCAAUAAAUUCCUAAAAAACAACUAUAGACUGAUACAAAAAUAAUCCCUCUCAAUCAUCACUUAUGCCCCGCUAGAAGUGUGUGUCGUGUCUGUUUCUGCAGAGACCCUGCAGCCCUCUGCCUGGAUUUUCUCUUUUCUUCUUAUUUUGCUUUACUUGGGACGCUUCUGGGCGUCAGCAAACAGCCUUUGGGCCCCACUUGUCGGUGUUACCGGUGUUACACGGUGACAAACAGCCACCCGCCGGUAAAGUUCAAAGUAAGCGCGCUAUACAUAUUGACCGUCAUAUUUUCUUGUAAAAUGUCCGGUGUAAUCGGUAACACCGGCCUUGUCACAAGUUUAUUAACCGGUGGGAAACUUUCCUCACCGUCACAUUCAGCCUUGUCACGCCCCUCAGCUUCUGACUAAGGCACAAGCAUUGGGCUAUACAUCGAUGGGCACAGGUCCCCCUUUAGAUGCUUUGCGGCCGUAUUUGAUGGAUGAGAAUGAGUUUGUUACAUCAGUGUGAGUUCCCCUGUUCCUCUGUCUCUCUUCUGCUGUGUGCAGUGGCUGUUGUGUGCUGCUAUCGGUGUGUCAGUUUGACCGAGGCACACACAACGCGCAGAGAGGACAGCCUGCCUUUCGGCUGCAUUCAUUCAAAAUCCGGCAGCUUGGCACCUUCCCGCAGGGUUGUACAGAGGUACACCAACUGUUGCAUAUUAUACCUUUAAUCAUUGAAAAUAAGUGAGGGAGAGUAAGAUUGAUCUUUCCAAAUGUCCGAAAUGUGCCCUGUGCCUUCUCAACUCACACAUAUUCAGCCCACUGCCGCAUCCAAAAAAUAUAUUGAAAAAAGUGCACAGGACUGUAAUCCAGUUAUUUCCACUGCAGGUGUCUCUACGCCUACUUUCCGAUUUUCCAUAUGCCACAGCCUUAUGUAUCUGGCUGGGUGUGUGUGUACAGUGCAGGGACGGAGUUUAUCAGUUUACUUUUAGGACUGUCUCCUCCACAGACAUGAUACGGUGCAGCAGAUACUCCCAGCAGCUGUCUGCAGGAAGGACGGUGGAUACAGUCCUGUCUUCGUUUGUAAUACCAUCCUUUAGAGGGAGUCCCACGGGGAGUCGGAAGACACACACACACACACAAUCUGUCGUUUCUCGAUGUGCUGAAAAUAAAUUAUCCCUAAACCCAGAUCCUUUCCAAUACGUGUUUUUUUUCUUUCCUCGCCGGUUGUAAAUAGACUUUGUGACUCGGUUAGAGCCGCCUCUAACUCCUGCCAUAAUGUGGACAUUUUUUAAUCAGGUAGGUAAUAAGCAAUACACUUAAUUAAUCUUAACGCCAUACACUGAAAUAUUACUUACCGAGUCUGGUGGCGUUUAAGGGAUGUGGAGGGUAACGCUCCUAUUUCUUCACCUCCUUUCUCAACUCGCCAUGGCCCACCUCUUCAACAAAGAGUGCUCUAACUUAAAACACACAAUUGUGAUGUGUACAAUCUAAUUUAAUGUAUUUAUUUAUGUAUUUUUGCCAACUUUGUAUAGUGUAUAAAUAUCUAUAAAUAUAUGAAAAAAGACAGUACUGUAUAGAUUUUAGCUGCCUGGUAAGGUUAAUAGUAUAUACUUGGUAGACUAAAAGAAAAAGCGUAGAGCUGUUCAAAAGCCAGUCAUUGAGAAAAUGCUUUCUGUAAAACCCGGUGCCACUGGCUCCUUUUUAUAUCCUAGGUUUCGUUUCUGGUUUAUUUUUUUUUAUUAUCAUUAUUGCCAGUGGGAUCCAAAGUGUGUGUUGUUUCUUCUUUUUCGUCCGUUCGUUUGUUAAUCGGUUUUGUUUUUUCUUGACAAGACACAGCGAGGUUCUGGCAGCCAGGAGAGUGCAGUGGAACGCAGACUGGGACCCUGUGCAGUAGUGUGUGUGUGUGUGUGUGUGUCUGUGUGUGUGAGCGAGCGUGUGUGUGUGUGUGUUAGGUGUGUGUCCGUCCAUGGUAGUGCUAGUGCUCUCUGUGCAGUGCCUCCCUCCUCUUUCUCCCUCUCUGAUGUAGUUUGUCAUGUGACGCAGUGUGUGUUAAGGUGCAGGAUGACUGUUGGCUGAAGCUGGCAGAUGCCCUCUCUCUCUCUCUCUCUCUCUCUCUCUCUCUCUCUCUCUCUCUCUCUCUCCUCAUGUCCACUCUGCUUCUUCAUUACAACGCUUCAUCUUAAUCCUCCACCAAGUAUAGAUUUCCACUUCCUCUGCUCAGUUUCUCAUUUACUCUCCCAUUCAGCUGGUAAUGCAUACACCACCAGAGUCUAAUUUCCCAGUAAUCCAUGCUUCCUCAUCUAUCUGCGAUUCUUUGUCCAUUAGCAGCUCUCAUCCGUCACCCUCCACAUUACCUUGUUUUCCCUGCAGAGCUCUGUGGACCAGAGAAUGAUUUAGCACAAAAAAAAACAGCAUCCCUGGUCAUUCUUCCUCUCUUUAUGGUGUCGCUCUCUCUGAGGAGAAGGGCAGCUGCCGGCUCAGCACGCAGAAACACAAAGCAGCCAUAUUCAGGUGUCAAGCACUCCAAUCUAUGUUGUGGUGGCGUCACCGCCGCCCCGUUUGUAGCAAGAGAAAGAGAAUAGCCUUAAAGAUUGGACCAACUACACACACAAAAGUAGUGGGAUAUGUGCAUUUGUAGUGGACUAUUAUUACCUUCCCUUUCCCGCACCAGAUUUAUUACUCAGUAUUCUGAUGUGUUGCUUGGUUGCUUUGUACAUAUCUGUGUAGUACUUCUGUUGAUGUCCCUGUGUUAGGAUAGUAACGGGUUCUUACUGGGCGGCCUCCGCAGACGUCCUCUCCCUACUGUCUCGUCUCAUUCCUCAAAAUACUUCAAAACAUUCCACCUGAAUCUCAAGUGAGCAACAUUUUAAAGAUGAUUAGAUUUAUCACGUAGGCUGGGAGCGAACCAAUAGAGGGACCGAACCACAGACAUUUCCACUGGAGCCAUGAUAAUAACCAAGACGUCUUGUCUGUGCUCACGUCCCUUUGAGAGCUGAUAGACCGUCACACGCACCUCUCUGCCCCUCCAAAAACCCGCCUUCACGCUGAGCUCACCGCGCUCCGAGUGGUCAGCGGGUCACCGACUGGUUUGAGGAGCCGCUGACCUCCUUUGGGGUGAGGAGGGUGAGGUAGGUGAGGAGGUGGGAGAGCCCUGGUAGGCGGCAGAGAGGCCCGUCCCUGAGGUCACAUCCUGGGUCAGGAGGGCGGGGAGCGAGGGCGUCUCGAGGUCAAACCCAGUAGCACUUUGGUUUUGCGUUCCAUGUUUUUUUUAGCCUCUCCUGUUUUUUGGCCGAGCGGACUGUGAUCUUACUGGUUGAUUUUUCUCGUUCUCCUCCACCCAUCAGUGUUACAGAGUGUGUUGGGUGGACGGAGCAAAGGAGCUGAGCUCUGAUUCUGUUCCAUAUUAAAGACUCAUUUUUACUA
Molecule: long non-coding RNA, 5205 nt
Organism: Sebastes umbrosus (honeycomb rockfish)
Lineage: Eukaryota; Metazoa; Chordata; Actinopteri; Perciformes; Sebastidae
Exons: 2
Source: RefSeq, a predicted model, not a curated record